CAAUUGGCCCUUUUCAGGGCCACACAAACAAAUCUAAAAAUAAUC
This is a regulatory RNA element of Lasius niger, 45 nucleotides long. It matches the Rfam family "Histone 3' UTR stem-loop". Rfam says of the family: The mRNAs of metazoan histone genes lack a poly-A tail. 3' end processing occurs at a site between a highly conserved stem-loop (modelled by this family) and a purine rich region around 20 nts downstream (the histone downstream element, or HDE). The stem-loop is bound by a 31 kDa stem-loop binding protein (SLBP - also termed the histone hairpin binding protein, or HBP). The record is from Rfam. NCBI's taxonomy places the organism in Eukaryota, Metazoa, Arthropoda, Insecta, Hymenoptera, Formicidae.